This 253-nucleotide ribosomal RNA is filed under the name uncultured bacterium. RNAcentral describes it as "partial 16S ribosomal RNA". It matches the Rfam family "Bacterial small subunit ribosomal RNA", at positions 524 to 776 of the family's 1533-position model. The record is from RNAcentral.
UACGUAGGGGGCGAGCGUUGUCCGGAUUUAUUGGGCGUAAAGAGCGUGUAGGCGGCUUGGCAAGUCCGCUGUGAAAACUCGAGGCUCAACCUCGAGACGUCGGUGGAAACUGCCUGGCUAGAGUCCGGAAGAGGAGAGUGGAAUUCCUGGUGUAGCGGUGAAAUGCGCAGAUAUCGGGAAGAACACCCGUGGCGAAGGCGGUUCUCUGGGACGGUACUGACGCUGAGACGCGAAAGCGUGGGGAGCGAACAGG